Dermacentor andersoni is the source of this 903-nucleotide long non-coding RNA. RefSeq lists it as uncharacterized. Lineage: Eukaryota; Metazoa; Arthropoda; Arachnida; Ixodida; Ixodidae. The record is from RefSeq and is a predicted model, not a curated record.
AAGUGCUUAAAAAAGUACGCAAGAACUACUAGAUAUAAUACACUGCAAGCAAGGUUACACGCUCUCCGGGUAAAUUCUUCAACUCAUCAUUCAUUGCCGCACCACCCUCAUGCUCCGUACCUGCACUACUAAAUUUUGUUCACCGACAGUUUACGCGCUGUUCCCCUUGUGCAUUGUGACGUAGCUUAUAGUUGUCACGACAAAAAAAGAAACCGGCACUUCUGCCCGAAAGGCCAAGCAUAGCUUGUGAUAGCAAAUUAGGGAACAGCUAUGCGAAGUAAGGAUAGUAAUUUUAUCGGCCGUAUCAACUUUUAAACAUAGGCAUAUUAACUAAAUUAACCGCCAUGGUGUCACGCGCGCACAAGCAAACGCGAACACAUCUCACUCGACGACUGCGGAAACUCGCUUUCAGAACGUUGGAGUGAGGAAGCGCGUCAGCAGCAGCGAGCGAACUGACCUAUGUGUCCGUCUCGCAUCAACGCAAACCAAGCCGCGAAAACACAGCACGUGGUGGAUUCUGUCCCUGUCGCAGAAAGCUUUGAAGCUACAGACGCCCGGGCGCGCGCCGCCGCCCGCGCCGCCCGCAGUAGUUUCGGCGACGCCGGAGGCCCCAUUUCGAACGUGCAUUGUUCACCGCUCUUAUGGGAGACCUGGGCUCUUGUCCUGGUUUUGGUGCCACGCAGCAGAACAUGGUAUCAGCAGCAAGAUGGACAGAGACGUCGCUGUAUGGAAUCAGAAGACCUUUAAGAAGCCUGUUUUGCUGGAAGAAGAUAACAACAUCAAGGAAUUCAGAAAUUCGUACAACCAAUUUUACAGCAAGAACAGUCCGACAUGGCAACAAGUGAAACGAAAGAGCUUGUCCUGGUGAUACGGGGACGACUGUGAAUAGAAGUCAACUCUUUG